UGGAGAGGGCGAGAGUGGUGACUAAAGAGAGGAGCCUUUCCUCCCCUUUUGCCUGCGCUCCGGCGCGCGGAGAGAGGGAGGUAGGGAGAGAGACAAACACAGAGCUAGAGAAAUUGAAAGAGAAACAUUCUCGAAGGCAAAGAGUUGAAAGGUGAAUCUACUAAGAAAAGAAUAACAGAGUGCAAUUAGCCAUGGAACUACAUCUCCAUCUGCCUCCUUUAAAGGAUGAGUCCUUUAAAGAGCCUUUGGAAGGAAUUGGGCCAUGAGAAGAGCCCUCAUGAAUGGGAUUAGUUCCCUUAUAAGAAGAGACACCAAGGAAGUGAUCUUUCUCUGCCCUCUGCUAUGUGAAGACAAGGUCAUCUGCAGUUUUUUGUUGUUGUUGAUGAUCUUCCUGUCAUAGACAAUGCUGUAACAAACAGACUAGAGAUAAUAAGCUCACUUUACCUCAGGACCUUUGCAGCAGCUCUGCCCUGUGCUUAGAUUGAUCUGUCACGAAACCUUAAAGUCUGGCUGAUUCUCAUUCUUCAGAUUCCAGGGCAAGUGCUAAGUCCUAAGUGCUAAGUGGUUACAAGGGACCCCAGAAUCAUGCUGGAGGUGAAACAGUGACAGAACGGGCACUUCCAGUAAGAAACUGAAGACUGGCUGCACAUCAAUUCACUCAGCGACUGGAGGUAGAGCUUUUGGAAACAGACUCUAUGACUACAUGCAGAAACGCUAGCAAUUGUUUCAUCUGGGUCCUAUAGAAGACUGUGACCUUCUGGGGAGGAUCUGUCAAUUCACUGAUGUUAGAAAAGUAACCAGCUUUAACUCAGGGCAGACUGACUUGGAAUAAUGUAAAACCAAACCAGGAUAUCAUAAGGUAAUCUAAGAGCUUAUGUAGAAAAAGCUAAAAUACAAAAUUUCAAUUAAUAUUAGCUCUAAUCAAUAGUCACUGGAGAAAAUAGUUAUAUGGGUUUAAAUUGUGAACUUUUGAAGUAGUUAUAUAGAAAAGAAAAACCUUCAAGUCUUUAUGUUUUAGAAGUUUGAACACAGAGUGCUUCAGCAAAGAAGAAUCCCUUCUCCAAAUCCUUUGCUGUUUGUGAAAUAUUUAUGCAGGUGAAAAUGAAAGAAAUGUUUCCAUAUGAAGAAGUUAGUAAUGGAACUCGUCAUUCUCUUUUUAUAGUCAUAUAUUGACUGUAUGUCAUUCAGUAUCCUUGGCUAUUAGAGAAUGGCCACAGCACAGAAUGACUGGGAGCAGAGAUAGUCUCCAAAUAGUCUGGAUUUGAUAUUUAAAUGUCUUAAAUAUACAUGUCAAUUAUAGAAAUAAUAUUAUGAACAUGGCCAGUUAGAAUUUGAAGCAUUACAACAUCAGAGCAGUCACAUUUUAUUGUAAUAAAAUGAAUGUGGGCUUUGGGGCAGACUUACUUGUAUUCAAAUUCAGGUGCUGCCACUUUGAGUGAGUCUUUAAGCAAAAAAAUUUUUUUUUCAUUUUUAAUGUUUAUGGGUACAUAAUAGAUAUAUAUCUAUAUACUAUAUAUAGAUAUAUACUUACGGAGUACACGAGACUUUUUAACACAGGCAUACAAUGCUGGACAAAAAUUUUUUAUUUCACUUUAAUAGUAAUUUGUAGUAGUAGCACAGUCAAAACAGUAAUAAUAGUAUUUAUUGAGCAUUUACUGUGUUCCAGGCAUCAUUCUAAGUUCUUUUCUAUAUUCCUUUAAUUCUCACAAAAUCCAAUGAGAUAAGUAUUAUUAAUAUCCUCAUUUUACAGAAAAAAAUUGUCACCAAUUU
RNAcentral lists this long non-coding RNA (1770 nucleotides) under Homo sapiens (human). RNAcentral's name for it is "HSALNT0327718". The record is from RNAcentral. Lineage: Eukaryota; Metazoa; Chordata; Mammalia; Primates; Hominidae.